Molecule: RNA transcript, 2172 nt
Organism: Limulus polyphemus (Atlantic horseshoe crab)
Lineage: Eukaryota; Metazoa; Arthropoda; Merostomata; Xiphosura; Limulidae
Gene: beag
Gene name: protein Red-like
Exons: 22
Source: RefSeq, a predicted model, not a curated record
UGUAGUUUUUCGCGUAAUGUAAUUCAUAAGAGUUAAUACUGUGUAAUAAAGUGUGCUAUAUAGUAUAACUUGGAAAUAAAUAAGUUUAAGUUAGUUUGAAACUGUUGAACCACAGUUUGAAGGUUUUAAAAACUAUAACAUGCCAGAAAGGGACAAUGAACCAUUUUCCAAUCCUCUCCCUCCAGCAGGCUUGGACUUGCGACGUGCAGAAGAAGCUGACAUCAGCCAUCCCAUGACAAAUGAUGACUUCAGGAAAUUGUUGAUGACACCUAGAGUUCCACCACCAUCUGCACCUCCCACGGCUGAACCAGAAGUCUACAGAGAAGAGCCAAAGGAAAGUGACAAAGCUGAAAAAAGGAAAAAUAAAAAGAAAUACUAUGCUGACCUUAAGAAGCAGGAAGAAGACAAACUUGCUGAACUUUCUAGAAAAUACAGAGAUCGAGCAAAGGAAAGAAGAGAAGGAAAUGCCGAAGACUACCAGAGUGAAGAUCCUAUAUCAUCAACUGCAGGAUAUAGAGCUGUAGCUCCUGAUGUCAAAUCAGGUAUGGAUGCUGCUGAACGUCGUCGCCAGAUGAUUCAGGAGUCCAAAUUCUUGGGUGGUGAUAUGGAACAUACACAUUUGGUGAAAGGUCUUGACUAUGCUUUGCUGCAGAAGGUGAGAAGUGAAAUCACCAGCAAAGAGAAGGAAGAGGAAGAAAUGGAAAAAGUUAUCAUGAAAACAACAAUAAAGGACGAAGAAGAUAUGCAGUUCAAGACCAGAAUGGGGAGAAACUUGUAUCGUCUCUUGUUUCGUGGAUAUCAAGUUGAAAAGAAUGAUCUCUUCCUUCCGGGACGUAUGGCAUACGUUAUUGACUUGGAAGAUGAAUACGCAGAGAGUGAUAUUCCUACCACUCGACUUCGUAGCAAGGCUGACUGCCCAAUCAUUGAGACCCAGACUACACUUACCACUAAUGAUAUAGUGAUCAACAAACUGACUCAGAUUCUUUCAUACCUCCGGCAAGGACCUCAUCACAGGAAAGGGAAAAAGAAGGAAAAAAUUAAGCUACGAGAUGAUGAGAAAGCUCAUGGAAAGAUGGGUGACGAGAGUAUAUAUGGAGACAUUGGGGACUACAUGCCAACCUUGGACAGAAAAGAAAAAGACAAAUACUCCAGUAGAGAGAGAAACAGAGAUAAGACAACAGAGAAGGACAAGGAGAGGAAACGAACAUACUUUGAAAAACCUAACGUAGAGGAUGAUCGUGAGAAAGACCGUGAAAACAAGAGAGAGCACAGUACCAGUGAGCAAGUAACUAACUGGGGAGGAGAAGUGAAAGUUAUCAAGCCUGAGAAGACAAAUGACAACAUGGAAAGAAAUGCUUCUGGAAGAAAAGCUGAGGACAAUAGACUCCGAGCCAAGUUAUCCAGCAAGUUAGAGAGAGAGAUUCCUGAAAGUUAUGCAGAGUGUUAUCCUGGGGCUCCUGAAUAUGAUGAUGCUUUAGACGAUAGUGAUGAUGAAGUUGAUUAUUCCAAAAUGGACAUGGGAAAUAAGAAAGGACCUAUUGGUCGAUGGGACUUUGAUACACAAGAGGAAUACAGUGAAUACAUGAGCAACAAGGAGGCACUGCCCAAAGCUGCUUUUCAAUAUGGUGUAAAGAUGGCUGAUGGACGAAAAACUCGUCGUUUAGCCACAGGAAAAAAGGAUGAGAAAACCAAGCUCGACAGAGAACUACAGAAAAUUAACCAGAUAAUCUCUAAACGAAAGGCUGCAGAAACUGAGGCACUAGUCGCUGGCAUGGGUACACCUGAUGUAAAAAGAUCACGAUAUUAACUGUGGAGGAACAGAAAGUUUUGCUGCUAAUGGAGUGAGUGACGAAGUUAAAAUAAGGACUAGACCAAAUCUGUAUAAUUAAGAUGCAGCCUGGAUCAAGAAACCAUAGAGAAGACAUCCAGAAAGAUAGUUACCAUUCACUGCUUCAAGUUACAACCUUAAAGGAUGGACCCAGUGAGUGUAACUUAAUGUCUGUCUAUCUUUAAGUAAAGAUUUUCGAACACCUGGCAUGACAAACCAACACACACUGUUACACCUUGUGAUUUACUCAUUCAAUUGACAGGCUUGUUCAUUUUUAAGAAGGAGUUCCAGUAUCUGUAUUUUUGAACAUUUGUACAUUGUAGAAUAAAUAUUAAUAACAUGUC